GGGGGUAUAGCUCAGUAGGUAGAGCGCAUCCAUGGUAAGGAUGAGGUCAUCGGUUCGAUUCCGGUAAAAGGCACCA
This 76-nucleotide transfer RNA is filed under the name Tumebacillus avium. RNAcentral's name for it is "tRNA-Thr". The stretch from base 8 to 65 matches the Rfam family "tRNA", at positions 8 to 63 of the family's 71-position model. Rfam says of the family: Transfer RNA (tRNA) molecules are approximately 80 nucleotides in length. Their secondary structure includes four short double-helical elements and three loops (D, anti-codon, and T loops). Further hydrogen bonds mediate the characteristic L-shaped molecular structure. tRNAs have two regions of fundamental functional importance: the anti-codon, which is responsible for specific mRNA codon recognition, and the 3' end, to which the tRNAs corresponding amino acid is attached (by aminoacyl-tRNA synthetases). tRNAs cope with the degeneracy of the genetic code in two manners: having more than one tRNA (with a specific anti-codon) for a particular amino acid; and 'wobble' base-pairing, i.e. permitting non-standard base-pairing at the 3rd anti-codon position. Lineage: Bacteria; Bacillati; Bacillota; Bacilli; Caryophanales; Alicyclobacillaceae. The record is from RNAcentral.